RNAcentral lists this long non-coding RNA (656 nucleotides) under Mytilus galloprovincialis (Mediterranean mussel). Lineage: Eukaryota; Metazoa; Mollusca; Bivalvia; Mytilida; Mytilidae. The record is from RNAcentral.
AUGAUGAUGGGAGUCUGAAACAUCAAAUUGUAAAAAAAAAAUGGAAAUUCAUGGUUUAGAAAAUAGUUCCCUGAUUUUGAAUUGGUUGACUUUUGCAACACCAUAACCUAUGUUAAUGAAAAUAUUUUUUUGUUGAUAGUCAUUUCAAAAAUGUUUGAUAAAUAUAUGAUGAAUGGAAACACAUGGUUUAUAUACCAGACGGGCUCAUGUGCGAAACACGUUAAGAACGUAUACUAUUUGUAAACAGGUUCAUGUUGUUGAAAACUACUGUAAACGUCUGAUUUGCAUUUUAGUGAAAGAAGUGCCUUUAUAAAAUUAUAUGUGGGGUGGCUCCAAUUAUGCUAGAAACUGGGUGGUAUGAAAAUUUGCGUACUGAAAGAGAUGUUGUUUUUAUUGUCUUUUUACUGUUGAAGAUGAAUAUCAUUUUAUUUUCAAUUGUCCUUUUGAAAAUGAUUUAGUAAAAUCGAAUCUUUCAAAAUCAAAUAACAUUUCAAUAGUUUUACAGAACUUCAGGAAAAGGUAUUUUCACGUUCGAAUCAAGAUAUUGGCAGAACAUGUACCAACCAACACCUGUUAUCAAAUUUAAUUUUCAAUGUAUUAUACAUGUUCUUCUAGUUUUUCAUCUAUCAAAGAUCUGUACAGAUUGACUUAUGUAU